This 346-nucleotide unclassified non-coding RNA is filed under the name Hevea brasiliensis (rubber tree). The record is from RNAcentral. Lineage: Eukaryota; Viridiplantae; Streptophyta; Magnoliopsida; Malpighiales; Euphorbiaceae.
AUUUGAUCCAACUCAAAUUUUAUUCAAAUAUUAAAUAGAUAAAUUUUAUUUUUAAAAUAAAAAUUUUAUAAAAACAAUUUUGCAAGCGACUCAAAUAAAAACCACUUGGAACUUGUAAAUUGAUCUAAACUUAUUUUUAUAUAAUAAAGGUGAUAAAUUUUAAUCCGAUCCAUUAUAUUUAAAGCCACUAAUAGUUCAUUUCAAUCCACACAAAAUGUAAGAAUGACUUAAAUGAAAAAUUGAGGACCAAACAAGCCCAUUUGUAUUGACAUAAUCAACCCAAAUUAAUUGGAAAAAAGAUUAACAUUUUGAUUUGACGAUUAAAUUUAUUUUGUAUACAUAGCAA